RNAcentral lists this ribosomal RNA (497 nucleotides) under uncultured bacterium. RNAcentral's name for it is "partial 16S ribosomal RNA". It matches the Rfam family "Bacterial small subunit ribosomal RNA", at positions 28 to 507 of the family's 1533-position model. The record is from RNAcentral.
GGUGAACGCUGGCGGCGUGCCUAAUACAUGCAAGUCGAGCGAACGGACGAGAAGCUUGCUUCUCUGAUGUUAGCGGCGGACGGGUGAGUAACACGUGGAUAACCUACCUAUAAGACUGGGAUAAAUUCGGGAAACCGGAGCUAAUACCGGAUGAUAUUUUGAACCGCAUGGUUCAAAAGUGAAAGACGGUCUUGCUGUCACUUAUAGAUGGAUCCGCGCUGCAUUAGCUAGUUGGUAAGGUAACGGCUUACCAAGGCAACGAUGCAUAGCCGACCUGAGAGGGUAAUCGGCCACACUGGAACUGAAACACGGUCAAGACUCCUCCGGAAGGCAGCAGUAGGGAAUCUUCCGCAAUGGGCGAAAGCCUGACGGAGCAACGCCGCGUGAGUGAUGAAGGUCUUCGGAUCGUAAAACUCUGUUAUUAGGGAAGAACAUAUGUGUAAGUAACUGUGCACAUCUUGACGGUACCUAAUCAGAAAGCCACGGCUAACUACGUG